UAGAGUUGGGUGUGAUAUGGUAGCACGAAGAAUUUUGAGUUCUUAAGAUUAGGUUCGACUCCUUUAACUCUAG
RNAcentral lists this transfer RNA (73 nucleotides) under Castor fiber subsp. birulai. Its description in RNAcentral is "tRNA-Gln". It matches the Rfam family "tRNA". From Rfam's summary of the family: Transfer RNA (tRNA) molecules are approximately 80 nucleotides in length. Lineage: Eukaryota; Metazoa; Chordata; Mammalia; Rodentia; Castoridae. The record is from RNAcentral.